GGGGCUGAUUCUGGAUUCGACGGGAUUUGCGAAACCCAAGGUGCAUGCCGAGGGGCGGUUGGCCUCGUAAAAAGCCGCAAAAAAAUAGUCGCAAACGACGAAAACUACGCUUUAGCAGCUUAAUAACCUGCUUAGAGCCCUCUCUCCCUAGCCUCCGCUCUUAGGACGGGGAUCAAGAGAGGUCAAACCCAAAAGAGAUCGCGCGGAUGCCCUGCCUGGGAUUGAAGCGUUAAAACGAAUCAGGCUAGUCUGGUAGUGGCGUGUCCGUCCGCAGGUGCCAGGCGAAUGUAAAGACUGACUAAGCAUGUAGUACCGAGGAUGUAGGAAUUUCGGACGCGGGUUCAACUCCCGCCAGCUCCACCA
This 363-nucleotide transfer-messenger RNA is filed under the name Salmonella enterica subsp. enterica serovar Oranienburg. It matches the Rfam family "transfer-messenger RNA". From Rfam's summary of the family: Bacterial tmRNA, also known as 10Sa RNA or SsrA, is named for its dual tRNA and mRNA-like properties. The record is from RNAcentral. Lineage: Bacteria; Pseudomonadati; Pseudomonadota; Gammaproteobacteria; Enterobacterales; Enterobacteriaceae. RNAcentral also lists the same sequence under 1 other name.